This 446-nucleotide ribosomal RNA is filed under the name uncultured bacterium. RNAcentral describes it as "bacterial SSU rRNA". It matches the Rfam family "Bacterial small subunit ribosomal RNA", at positions 330 to 793 of the family's 1533-position model. The record is from RNAcentral.
ACCAGACUCCUACGGGAGGCAGCAGUGGGGGAUAUUGCACAAUGGGGGAAACCCUGAUGCAGCGACGCCGCGUGGGUGAAGAAGCGCCUCGGCGCGUAAAGCCCUGUCAGCAGGGAAGAAAAUGACGGUACCUGAAGAAGAAGCCCCGGCUAACUACGUGCCAGCAGCCGCGGUAAUACGUAGGGAGCAAGCGUUAUCCGGAUUUACUGGGUGUAAAGGGCGUGUAGGCGGGCCUGCAAGUCAGAAGUGAAAUCUGGGGGCUUAACCCCCAAACUGCUUUUGAAACUGUGGGUCUUGAGUGAUGGAGAGGCAGGCGGAAUUCCCAGUGUAGCGGUGAAAUGCGUAGAUAUUGGGAGGAACACCAGUGGCGAAGGCGGCCUGCUGGACAUUAACUGACGCUGAGGCGCGAAAGCGUGGGUAGCGAACGGGAUUAGAUACCCCUGUAC